RNAcentral lists this ribosomal RNA (440 nucleotides) under uncultured bacterium. RNAcentral describes it as "partial 16S ribosomal RNA". It matches the Rfam family "Bacterial small subunit ribosomal RNA", at positions 338 to 795 of the family's 1533-position model. The record is from RNAcentral.
CCUACGGGAGGCAGCAGUAGGGAAUAUUGCUCAAUGGGGGAAACCCUGAACCAGCAACGCCGCGUGGAGGAUGAAGGCUUUCGGAGUGGAAACUCCUUUUGUUAGAGAAGAUAAUGACGGUACCUAUCGAAUAAGCACCGGCUAACUCCGUGCCAGCAGCCGCCGUAAUACGGAGGGUGCAAGCGUUACUCGGAAGCACUGGGCGUAAAGAGCGCGUAGGCGGGAUAGCAAGUCAGAUGUGAAAUCCUAUGGCUUAACCAUAGAACUGCAUUUGAAACUGUUAUUCUAGAGUAUGGGAGAGGUAGGUGGAAUUCGUGGUGUAGGGGUAAAAUCCGUAGAGAUCAAGAGGAAUACUGAUUGCGAAGGCGACCUGCUAGAACAUAACUGACGCUGAUGCGCGAAAGCGUGGGGAGCAAACAGGAUUAGAUACCCGUGUAGUC